CUGGGCGUAAAGAGCUCGUAGGUGGUUUGUCGCGUUGUUCGUGAAAUCUCACGGCUUAGCUGUGAGCGUGCGGGCGAUACGGGCAGACUUGAGUACUGCAGGGGAGACUGGAAUUCCUGGUGUAGCGGUGGAAUGCGCAGAUAUCAGGAGGAACACCGGCGGCGAAGGCGGGUCUCUGGGCAGUAACUGACGCUGAGGAGCGAAAGCGUGGGGAGCGAACAGGAUUAGAUACCCUGGUAGUCCACGCCGUAAACGGUGGGUACUAGGUGUGGGUUUCCUUCCUUGGGAUCCGUGCCGUAGCUAACGCAUUAAGUACCCCGCCUGGGGAGUACGGCCGCGAGGCUAAAACUCAAAGAAAUUGACGGGGGCCCGCACAAGCGGCGGAGCAUGUGGAUUAAUUCGAUGCAACGCGAAGAACCUUACCUGGGUUUGACAUGCACAGGACGCCGGCAGAGAUGUCGGUUCCCUUGUGGCCUGUGUGCAGGUGGUGCAUGGCUGUCGUCAGCUCGUGUCGUGAGAUGUUGGGUUAAGUCCCGCAACGAGCGCAACCCUUGUCUCAUGUUGCCAGCGGGUAAUGCCGGGGACUCGUGAGAGACUGCCGGGGUCAACUCGGAGGAAGGUGGGGAUGACGUCAAGUCAUCAUGCCCCUUAUGUCCAGGGCUUCACACAUGCUACAAUGGCCGGUACAAAGGGCUGCGAUGCCGCGAGGUUAAGCGAAUCCUUUUAAAGCCGGUCUCAGUUCGGAUCGGGGUCUGCAACUCGACCCCGUGAAGUCGGAGUCGCUAGUAAUCGCAG
This 795-nucleotide ribosomal RNA is filed under the name uncultured Mycobacterium sp. RNAcentral describes it as "bacterial SSU rRNA". It matches the Rfam family "Bacterial small subunit ribosomal RNA", at positions 554 to 1347 of the family's 1533-position model. The record is from RNAcentral. Lineage: Bacteria; Bacillati; Actinomycetota; Actinomycetes; Mycobacteriales; Mycobacteriaceae.